GCAAGUCGAGCGUGAAAGCCUUCGGGUGAGUAGAGCGGCGGACGGGUGAGUAACGCGUGGGAAUCUGCCCAGUAGUGGGGGACAACUUAUGGAAACGUAAGCUAAUACCGCAUACACCCUACGGGGAAAAGGGGGCUUCGGCUCUCGCUAUUGGAUGAGCCCGCGUUAGAUUAGCUUGUUGGUGAGGUAAAGGCUCACCAAGGCGACGAUCCGUAGCUGGUCUGAGAGGAUGAUC
RNAcentral lists this ribosomal RNA (235 nucleotides) under uncultured bacterium. Its description in RNAcentral is "partial 16S ribosomal RNA". It matches the Rfam family "Bacterial small subunit ribosomal RNA", at positions 57 to 305 of the family's 1533-position model. The record is from RNAcentral.